ACGUUCGUAAAUCAUAUAGGUGGUUCCAGUGUGUUGUGUCAUGGGCAUGACUACAAUUUUGAUACCAAAAACAGGUGAUUUCUGUGUGUGAGAGAAACCAAAAAAUGGGGAAGAUGACAUUCAGAGUAGUUAUAGCGAUUUUAGUAGUACUCUUACUUUACUACGUCGGCCGGCCUCUCUACUGGAAAAUCUCCGCCACCGUUCACGAUAUCCGCCACAACAAACAAACAGUCUCCGGAGGAUUUUCACAAAUUGUUCAGGCAGCUCAGAAUUCAGUCAGCUGGUUCCACGAUGAGUCCGAUUCAGGAGUGCUUGACGUUGGAAUCGCGGCAGCAAGGAGGAUUGUUCUUCGUAAGGUUUUGUAAAGCAUUUUAAAAUGUUACUUUCAUGUGUUAAGACUGUCUCUAGUGGUUAAUGUAGAUCCUUGAAUAAACGUGUUGUAGUUGUGAAGACUUUCAAACUUUUGAAGUUUCUGCAAUUGUUGCUACACCUUGUACUAAUUUCAGUCCAUAUCAGAAUAUCAAACAAUCAAUUGUCUGUAUA
RNAcentral lists this unclassified non-coding RNA (543 nucleotides) under Hevea brasiliensis (rubber tree). Lineage: Eukaryota; Viridiplantae; Streptophyta; Magnoliopsida; Malpighiales; Euphorbiaceae. The record is from RNAcentral.